Molecule: ribosomal RNA, 468 nt
Filed under: uncultured bacterium
Lineage: Bacteria
Description: partial 16S ribosomal RNA
Rfam family: Bacterial small subunit ribosomal RNA
Source: RNAcentral
GACGAACGCUGGCGGCGUGCUUAACACAUGCAAGUCGAACGGAAAGGCCCUGCUUUUGUGGGGUGCUCGAGUGGCGAACGGGUGAGUAACACGUGAGUAACCUGCCCUUGACUUUGGGAUAACUUCAGGAAACUGGGGCUAAUACCGGAUAGGAGCUCCUGCUGCAUGGUGGGGGUUGGAAAGUUUCGGCGGUUGGGGAUGGACUCGCGGCUUAUCAGCUUGUUGGUGGGGUAGUGGCUUACCAAGGCUUUGACGGGUAGCCGGCCUGAGAGGGUGACCGGCCACAAUGGGACUGAGAGACGGCGCAGACGCGUACGGGAGGCAGUAGUGGGGAAUAUUGCACAAUGGGCGGAAGCCUGAUGCAGCAACGCCGCGUGCGGGAUGACGGCCUUCGGGUUGUAAACCGCUUUCGCCUGUGACGAAGCGUGAGUGACGGUAAUGGGUAAAGAAGCACCGGCUAACUACGUG